Molecule: ribosomal RNA, 255 nt
Filed under: uncultured bacterium
Lineage: Bacteria
Description: partial 16S ribosomal RNA
Rfam family: Bacterial small subunit ribosomal RNA
Source: RNAcentral
CGUAGGUGGCAAGCGUUGUCCGGAUUUAUUGGGUUUAAAGGGUGCGUAGGCGGUCUUAUAAGUCAGUUGUGAAAUAUGGCAGCUUAACUGUCAAGGUGCAAUUGAUACUGUAAGACUUGAGUAUUGUUGAGGUAGGCGGAAUGGACGGUGUAGCGGUGAAAUGCUUAGAGAUCGUCCAGAACACCGAUAGCGAAGGCAGCUUACUAAAGAAUAACUGACGCUGAGGCACGAAAGUGUGGGGGAUCAAACAGGAUU